RNAcentral lists this ribosomal RNA (373 nucleotides) under uncultured organism. RNAcentral's name for it is "bacterial SSU rRNA". It matches the Rfam family "Bacterial small subunit ribosomal RNA", at positions 526 to 896 of the family's 1533-position model. The record is from RNAcentral.
CAGAGGUCCCAAGCGUUGUUCGGAUUCACUGGGCGUAAAGGGUGCGUAGGUGGUCGGGUAAGUCUGAUGUGAAAUCUCCGAGCUCAACUCGGAAAUGGCAUUGGAUACUAUUCGGCUAGAGGAUUGGAGGGGGGGACUGGAAUUCUCGGUGUAGCAGUGAAAUGCGUAGAUAUCGAGAGGAUCACCAGUGGCGAAGGCGAGUCCCUGGACAACUCCUGACACUGAGGCACGAAAGCUAGGGGAGCAAACAGGAUUAGAUACCCUGGUAGUCCUAGCCGUAAACGGUGCUUGCUUGCUGUAAAAGGAAUCGACCCCUUUUGUGGCGAAGCUAACGCGAUAAGCAAGCCGCCUGGGAAGUACGGUCGCAAGAUUA